CCCUUAGAUGUCCUGGGCUGCACGCGCGCUACACUGACACACCCAGCGAGUCUCCUGCCCUGACAGGGUUGGGUAAUCAUUGGAGUGUGUGUCGUGAUGGGGAUAGAGUAUUGCAAUUAUUGCUCUCGAACGAGGAAUUCCUAGUAAGCACAAGUCAGCAGCUUGUGCUGAUUACGUCCCUGCCCUUUGUACACACCGUCCGUCGCUCCUACCGAGGGGGUGAUCCGGUGAAUGAUUCGGACUUUGGCGUUUCUAGCUGCUAGCAGCGCUGAAGAAAGUUUUGUGAACCUUAUCACUUGGAGGAAGGAGUAGUCGUAACA
RNAcentral lists this ribosomal RNA (320 nucleotides) under uncultured eukaryote. Its description in RNAcentral is "partial 18S ribosomal RNA". It matches the Rfam family "Eukaryotic small subunit ribosomal RNA", at positions 1470 to 1796 of the family's 1831-position model. The record is from RNAcentral.